This 253-nucleotide ribosomal RNA is filed under the name uncultured bacterium. RNAcentral describes it as "partial 16S ribosomal RNA". It matches the Rfam family "Bacterial small subunit ribosomal RNA", at positions 524 to 776 of the family's 1533-position model. The record is from RNAcentral.
UACGUAGGGGGCAAGCGUUGUCCGGAAUCAUUGGGCGUAAAGAGCGUGUAGGCGGCCAGAUAAGUCCGCUGUGAAAUCUCGAGGCUCAACUUCGAGCUGUCGGUGGAAACUGUCUGGCUAGAGUCCGGAAGAGGAGAAUGGAAUUCCUGGUGUAGCGGUGAAAUGCGCAGAUAUCAGGAAGAACACCAAUGGCGAAGGCAGUUCUCUGGGACGGCACUGACGCUGAGACGCGAAAGCGUGGGGAGCAAACAGG